GUAAAGGCAAAAGAGAGCUUGAUUGCAAGACAUAAAGGUCGAGCAAGGAUGAAAAUCGGACUUAGUGAUCCGGUGGUUCUGCGUGGAAGGGCCAUCGCUCAACGGAUAAAAGCUACCCUGGGGAUAACAGGCUUAUCUCCCCCAAGAGUCCACAUCGACGGGGAGGUUUGGCACCUCGAUGUCGGCUCAUCACAUCCUGGGGCUGUAGUAGGUCCCAAGGGUUGGGCUGUUCGCCCAUUAAAGUGGUACGCG
RNAcentral lists this ribosomal RNA (252 nucleotides) under Clostridioides difficile. RNAcentral describes it as "partial 23S ribosomal RNA". It matches the Rfam family "Bacterial large subunit ribosomal RNA", at positions 2351 to 2602 of the family's 2925-position model. The record is from RNAcentral. Lineage: Bacteria; Bacillati; Bacillota; Clostridia; Peptostreptococcales; Peptostreptococcaceae.